AUUGAACGCUGGCGGAAUGCUUUACACAUGCAAGUCGAACGGCAGCACGGGAGCUUGCUCCUGGUGGCGAGUGGCGAACGGGUGAGUAACAUAUCGGAACGUACCCCGUCGUGGGGGAUAACUCUCCGAAAGGAGUGCUAAUACCGCAUACGACCUGAGGUGAAAGCGGGGGACCUGCAAGGGCCUCGCGCGAUGGGAGCGGCCGAUAUCGGAUUAGCUAGUUGGUGAGGUAAAGGCUCACCAAGGCGACGAUCCGUAGCGGGUCUUAGAGGACGACCCGCCACACUGGAACUGAGACACGGUCCAGACUCCUACGGGAGGCAGCAUGGGGAAUUUUGGGACAAUGGGGGAAACCCUGGAUCCAGCCAUUCCGCGUGAGUGAAGAAGGCCUC
This 392-nucleotide ribosomal RNA is filed under the name uncultured bacterium. RNAcentral describes it as "bacterial SSU rRNA". It matches the Rfam family "Bacterial small subunit ribosomal RNA", at positions 30 to 418 of the family's 1533-position model. The record is from RNAcentral.